This 253-nucleotide ribosomal RNA is filed under the name uncultured bacterium. Its description in RNAcentral is "partial 16S ribosomal RNA". It matches the Rfam family "Bacterial small subunit ribosomal RNA", at positions 524 to 776 of the family's 1533-position model. The record is from RNAcentral.
UACAGAGGGGGCAAGCGUUAUUCGGAAUUAUUGGGCGUAAAGGGCGCGUAGGCGGCCUGGCAAGUGGAUGGUGAAAUCCCUCGGCUUAACCGAGGAACUGCCAUCCAGACUGCUUGGCUUGAGACCGGGAGAGGUGAGUGGAAUUCCCAGUGUAGCGGUGAAAUGCGUAGAUAUUGGGAGGAACACCAGUGGCGAAGGCGGCUCACUGGACCGGUACUGACGCUGAGGUGCGAAAGCGUGGGGAGCAAACAGG